This 427-nucleotide ribosomal RNA is filed under the name uncultured bacterium. RNAcentral's name for it is "bacterial SSU rRNA". It matches the Rfam family "Bacterial small subunit ribosomal RNA", at positions 355 to 774 of the family's 1533-position model. The record is from RNAcentral.
UGGGGAAUUUUGGACAAUGGGCGCAAGCCUGAUCCAGCCAUGCCGCGUGCAGGAUGAAGGCCUUCGGGUUGUAAACUGCUUUUGUACGGAACGAAAAGGUGCCUUCUAAUAAAGGGCGCUCAUGACGGUACCGUAAGAAUAAGCACCGGCUAACUACGUGCCAGCAGCCGCGGUAAUACGUAGGGUGCGAGCGUUAAUCGGAAUUACUGGGCGUAAAGCGUGCGCAGGCGGUUUUGUAAGACAGAGGUGAGAUCCCCGGGCUCAACCUGGGAACUGCCUUUGUGACUGCAAGGCUGGAGUGCGGCAGAGGGGGAUGGAAUUCCGCGUGUAGCAGUGAAAUGCGUAGAUAUGCGGAGGAACACCGAUGGCGAAGGCAAUCCCCUGGGCCUGCACUGACGCUCAUGCACGAAAGCGUGGGGAGCAAACA